This 322-nucleotide long non-coding RNA is filed under the name Mytilus galloprovincialis (Mediterranean mussel). Lineage: Eukaryota; Metazoa; Mollusca; Bivalvia; Mytilida; Mytilidae. The record is from RNAcentral.
GUACUGUCUCUGUGAAUUGUCUUUUAAAAGGCGAAUGUCCGAGACCUUUAUCAAAUAGAACAGUCAUUUGUAUUCCAGUGGUCAUCAAAACUAUUCCCACCAUAAAAAAUUAAAACAUCACGAUAUGAAUAUCAUGCGUCCGAAGCGCUUUUCUAGUUUAACCUUCAUCGGGACGCUCAAAGACGAAUAUUUGAAAGCCAAGGAUUUAUAUGGUACAUACAAAGAACCUUAUCGUCCAAAAAGGUGAAAAUAACUAACAGAUAACAACGCCAAAUGGUCUCAUCUGUUGUGAAUUCCUUUAUAUAGUUUCCUGUGUGAAACU